RNAcentral lists this ribosomal RNA (408 nucleotides) under uncultured bacterium. RNAcentral describes it as "partial 16S ribosomal RNA". It matches the Rfam family "Bacterial small subunit ribosomal RNA", at positions 29 to 526 of the family's 1533-position model. The record is from RNAcentral.
AGUGAACGCUGGCGGCGUGCCUAAUACAUGCAAGUCGAACGGAGUGGCGCACGGGUGAGCAAUAUAUAGCUAAUCUGACCCUUGCUGGCGGACCACAGUUAGAACUGACUGCUAAUACUCCAUAGCAAGGGAUGAGACUAUAUCGUAUCAGCUAGUCGGUAGGGUAACGGCCUCCCGAGGCUAUGACGCGUAACUGGUCUGAGAGGAUGAUCAGUCACAUGGGAACUAGAACACGGUUCAGACUCCUACGGGAGGCAGCAGGAGGGAACAUUGCUCAAUGGGGCAAACCCUGACGCAGCAACGCCGGGUGGAGGAUGACACUUUUCAGUGCGUAAACGCCUUUUGUUAGGGAAGCGUUACCGAACUAAUAAGCACCGGCUGACUCCGUGCCAGCAGCCGCGGUAAUUC